CCUACGGGUGGCAGCAGUGAGGAAUAUUGGUCAAUGGGCGCGAGCCUGAACCAGCCAAGUCGCGUGAAGGAUGACGGCCCUACGGGUUGUAAACCUCUUUUGCCGGGGAGCAACGGGCGUCACGUGUGGCGCCACUGAGAGUACCCGGAGAAAAAGCAUCGGCUAACUCCGUGCCAGCAGCCGCGGUAAUACGGAGGAUGCGAGCGUUAUCCGGUUUUAUUGGGUUUAAAGGGUGCGUAGGCGGAUCGUUAAGUCAGUGGUCAAAUUUGGGGGCUCAACCCCUUCCCGCCAUUGAAACUGGCGUUCUUGAGUGGAAGAGAAGUAUGCGGAAUGCGUGGUGUAGCGGUGAAAUGCAUAGAUAUCACGCAGAACCCCGAUUGCGAAGGCAGCAUGCCGGCUUCCGACUGACGCUGAAGCACGAAAGCGUGGGGAUCGAACAGGAUUAGAUACCCGGGUAGUC
Molecule: ribosomal RNA, 460 nt
Filed under: uncultured bacterium
Lineage: Bacteria
Description: partial 16S ribosomal RNA
Rfam family: Bacterial small subunit ribosomal RNA
Source: RNAcentral